Molecule: ribosomal RNA, 344 nt
Filed under: uncultured fungus
Lineage: Eukaryota; Fungi
Description: SSU rRNA
Rfam family: Eukaryotic small subunit ribosomal RNA
Source: RNAcentral
GCUUCAUUCAAAUAUCUUCCCUAUCAACUGUCGAUGGUAGGAUAGAGGCCUACCAUGGUUGCAACGGGUAACGGGGAAUAAGGGUUCGAUUCCGGAGAGGGAGCCUGAGAAACGGCUACCACAUCCAAGGAAGGCAGCAGGCGCGCAAAUUACCCAAUCCCGACCGGGGAGGUAGUGACAAUAAAUACUGAUACAGGGCUCUUUUGGGUCUUGUAAUUGGAAUGAGUACAAUUUAAAUCCCUUAACGAGGAACAAUUGGAGGGCAAGUCUGGUGCCAGCAGCCGCGGUAAUUCCAGCUCCAAUAGCGUAUAUUAAAGUUGUUGCAGUUAAAAAGCUCGUAGUUG